This 433-nucleotide ribosomal RNA is filed under the name uncultured bacterium. RNAcentral's name for it is "partial 16S ribosomal RNA". It matches the Rfam family "Bacterial small subunit ribosomal RNA", at positions 29 to 507 of the family's 1533-position model. The record is from RNAcentral.
AACGAACGCUGGCGGCAUGCCUAACACAUGCAAGUCGAACGAGACCUUCGGGUCUAGUGGCGGACGGGUGCGUAACGCGGGGGAAGCUGCCCUUAGGUUCGGAAUAACUCCCCGAAAGGGGUGCUAAUACAGGAUAAUGUAAUAGGACCAAAGAUGUAUCGCCUUUGGAUGGGCGCGGGUUGGAUUAGCGAGUUGGUAGGGUAAAAGCCGACCAAGGCGUCGUUCCAGAGCUGGUGUGUGAGGAUGACCAGCCACACUGGAACUGCGACACGGCCCAGACUCCUACGGGAGGCAGGAGUGGGGUAUAUUGGACGAUGGGCGAAAGCCUGAUACAGCAAUGCCGCGUGAGUGAGGAAGGCCUUAGGGUUGUGAAGCUCUUUUACCCGGGAUGAUAAUGACAGUACCGGGAGAAUAAGCACCGGCUAACUCCGUG